Molecule: ribosomal RNA, 1472 nt
Filed under: Limosilactobacillus fermentum
Lineage: Bacteria; Bacillati; Bacillota; Bacilli; Lactobacillales; Lactobacillaceae
Description: bacterial SSU rRNA
Rfam family: Bacterial small subunit ribosomal RNA
Source: RNAcentral
GGGCGUGCUAAUACAUGCAAGUCGAACGCGUUGGCCCAAUUGAUUGAUGGUGCUUGCACCUGAUUGAUUUUGGUCGCCAACGAGUGGCGGACGGGUGAGUAACACGUAGGUAACCUGCCCAGAAGCGGGGGACAACAUUUGGAAACAGAUGCUAAUACCGCAUAACAGCGUUGUUCGCAUGAACAACGCUUAAAAGAUGGCUUCUCGCUAUCACUUCUGGAUGGACCUGCGGUGCAUUAGCUUGUUGGUGGGGUAACGGCCUACCAAGGCGAUGAUGCAUAGCCGAGUUGAGAGACUGAUCGGCCACAAUGGGACUGAGACACGGCCCAUACUCCUACGGGAGGCAGCAGUAGGGAAUCUUCCACAAUGGGCGCAAGCCUGAUGGAGCAACACCGCGUGAGUGAAGAAGGGUUUCGGCUCGUAAAGCUCUGUUGUUAAAGAAGAACACGUAUGAGAGUAACUGUUCAUACGUUGACGGUAUUUAACCAGAAAGUCACGGCUAACUACGUGCCAGCAGCCGCGGUAAUACGUAGGUGGCAAGCGUUAUCCGGAUUUAUUGGGCGUAAAGAGAGUGCAGGCGGUUUUCUAAGUCUGAUGUGAAAGCCUUCGGCUUAACCGGAGAAGUGCAUCGGAAACUGGAUAACUUGAGUGCAGAAGAGGGUAGUGGAACUCCAUGUGUAGCGGUGGAAUGCGUAGAUAUAUGGAAGAACACCAGUGGCGAAGGCGGCUACCUGGUCUGCAACUGACGCUGAGACUCGAAAGCAUGGGUAGCGAACAGGAUUAGAUACCCUGGUAGUCCAUGCCGUAAACGAUGAGUGCUAGGUGUUGGAGGGUUUCCGCCCUUCAGUGCCGGAGCUAACGCAUUAAGCACUCCGCCUGGGGAGUACGACCGCAAGGUUGAAACUCAAAGGAAUUGACGGGGGCCCGCACAAGCGGUGGAGCAUGUGGUUUAAUUCGAAGCUACGCGAAGAACCUUACCAGGUCUUGACAUCUUGCGCCAACCCUAGAGAUAGGGCGUUUCCUUCGGGAACGCAAUGACAGGUGGUGCAUGGUCGUCGUCAGCUCGUGUCGUGAGAUGUUGGGUUAAGUCCCGCAACGAGCGCAACCCUUGUUACUAGUUGCCAGCAUUAAGUUGGGCACUCUAGUGAGACUGCCGGUGACAAACCGGAGGAAGGUGGGGACGACGUCAGAUCAUCAUGCCCCUUAUGACCUGGGCUACACACGUGCUACAAUGGACGGUACAACGAGUCGCGAACUCGCGAGGGCAAGCAAAUCUCUUAAAACCGUUCUCAGUUCGGACUGCAGGCUGCAACUCGCCUGCACGAAGUCGGAAUCGCUAGUAAUCGCGGAUCAGCAUGCCGCGGUGAAUACGUUCCCGGGCCUUGUACACACCGCCCGUCACACCAUGAGAGUUUGUAACACCCAAAGUCGGUGGGGUAACCUUUUAGGAGCCAGCCGCCUAAGGUGACAGA